RNAcentral lists this non-coding RNA (22 nucleotides) under Arabidopsis thaliana (thale cress). The record is from RNAcentral. Lineage: Eukaryota; Viridiplantae; Streptophyta; Magnoliopsida; Brassicales; Brassicaceae.
GAGCCGUUCCCAGUCCGUCCCC